AAUAUUAAGACAGAAACACACACACAUAAUAUAUAUAUAUAUAUAUAUAUAAAUAAUAAUAAUUCCCUCCCCCUCGACCCCCCUCGCUGACCUGUCAGCAGCACGUCAACAUCAGUAUGCAUAACGUAUGCGUGUGUUUUAUCCGAAGAGUUAGCGUGUGAUGACGCGUGUGUAGUGCAAAACAAUAUGGACAGAUUUCUUCAAAGAAAAGCAGUCUGCGGGAAAUGAACCGGACAUGCCGUGUACGGGUAUCCUAGAAACGGGAUGUGUUCUAGAUAUUUGAGUCAAAUAGAAAGCAAAAGCUGAAUCAUGCAACACACAUAACGUUUCACCCCCUUUAUUUACAUGAUUAUCUAGUAAUUUAUUGAACGACAGCUUUGCUUUUUCCAUUCCACCAGUGAACAGAAGCGGUCGAUUAGUGCUUGAUUUUGUUUUUCGUUCUUUCUUUGGUCCGUGUAAUAAUGCGCAGUGUGAGGAAGCCGAAAAAAACAAUAAAUGUCGCUGUGACUCAGGCUCGGCACACGUACCGAUAGAUGUGAAAGCACCGUAAAAGCGCACGGUGAGGCUGAACACAUGACUUAAUAUUAUUAGCUAGUUACAAUUUCUCAUUACACGCAACUCGAUGUUAUAUUUAUUACAUUUCUAGACUUGCUAUGUGCAGCGGUUUUUCUGUGUUAAACCGGCUGUAUGCUCGCAAUGCGUUAUGGAUCAUACCCACAGUAAUACCUUGACCCCUGAUAAUGAUGCUCUUCGUAUAUUAUCGGUCAUAUACUGACUUUUCAGCGUAACACAGAGGUGAGCCGUAUGAGCUCAGUGUCCGUCUCCAGAGAGCUGCUCUGAAACUUCUCGUCAUUAAUGAACGAAGCAUGCUGUUACACACCGGAGUUUGGUAAAAGGCCUCUGUUUGAGAUUUACUAAUCGCCUUUGUUUACGCAAGCCAUUACAGGUUAGAAUGUCUUACGUUGAGAUGCUAAGUGUCCCGGUUUCUGUAAGAUGAGCUCAUAAAUUAUUGACUCUAAUUAGUCUGUCGGACUGCAAUCUGACAUGGUGAUGGAACGGAGAGUUAUUUAUUUAUUUAUUUAUUUAUUUAUUUAUUUUUUACUGCAGUUUGAGUUUUGAUCAUAAACAAUGGCCGUAUAAGCAUAAAAUCUCUCUGAAACACACACACACACCCUCUUCGUAUCAUGGAAUGUGAGCGGUUAUGGGUCACUCCAGAUUGUGAGUUGUAUCCCGCAAAAAAAAAGAUUUUUUUUUUCUGCGUGAAGAAAAAAAAUCAGUGGCUCUGUUUACAUGGACAACGGUAAUCAAAUUUUUGACCUUAUUCUCAAUAAGAUAAUAUUCUGAUUAAGGUGUUUACACGGACAGCAGUAAUCUAAUUACUGACCUUAUUCUGAAUAAGACAAUAUUCUGAUUAAGGUGUUUACACGGACAGCAGUAAUCUAAUUACCGACCUUAUUCUGAAUAAGACAAUAUUCUGAUUGAGGUGUUUAUAUGAGCUGCUUUUACAAUAUUCCGUUCACGUUUCUGUUUUACGUGUUAUAGAACACAGAUGGAUUAACAGCACACGUCAUUACAUCCCCUCCAGACCCAUACGUUCCCUCCGGAAUUUGACGUAUCGACAUGUAGUCGGUCUUCGUUAUGGUCCCGUAUUCAGUUUCGGGUGUUUCAUUUUUAAUUUCAGGAAAACUUUAAGUGCGGUUAAUUAUUCGUCACGCUGUACGUGUAAAUAGACGACCGUUUGAAGCCGUGGGCUGCGUCCCAAACCACGUACUGAAAAACGUUUCGGAUUGUCUUUCAUUACAUUUUUAAACAUUGUAAUUUCACCGUCGGAUGCGGAAAAGUUUUUUUUGUUUUUUUUUUUCGUCUCUCCCUCUUUUUUUUUUUUUUUUUUUUAAUCAGAAAAACCCGCCAUUUUAACAGGGCUGUGUAGACGUCUCGCAUUUUUGCAAGUCUUUGUUGCAUUUUCUGUUUCAUUUUUACGAGAAAGGAAAAAAGGGAACCGCUGUUUAUAGCUUCUAAAGCGUGAGUGAUGAUGGGAUUCACAAGCGUUCUGUUAAAUGUGAUUAAAUUCAAUUUGAUGCGAUUUUAAGAGCAACAAAACGCUUCCAGACAUGCCGGUAUAGGAACGUAUUCACCUUCAGGAACAUCACACAACCCAACUGAUGACUGUUUUCUGAUAACAGCCUGCUCCAUCAGGUGUAAUCUUGUGCGUAAUCAUAACAGUUUCAUCUAAUAUCGGCAGUGUACGAUGCCACAGUUAGCACCAUACCAUAGCUUCCGUCUAACGGUGAAGUUUUUUUUCAAUGUUUUUUUUUCCCCGACUGCAGCUCUUAAGCCUCAUAAAGCUGUAUGAAUAUUUAACCAGGCCGCCGUGUGCACUUGGUUUUCAGUGUCUGCUGAUUUCUGAUUUAUUCCCAGGCAGUGUUUACUGUAACUAGCUGCUCUUAAUAAUUUAGCUUUUUGCCAUUAGUACUUUCAAGGAGUUAUGACCUCCUCUAUUUAUUAUCUCUUGGUGGCCUUCUAAAGUUUGGCACUCCACCGCGUAAUUAACUGCGGGUGUUCGAGAUUGUGCCGAAAGUGCUUUUAAAGUUCGCCGUUCACCUGCAUGAUGUGUGUGCCCUCAUCUCUGUAGUGCAUCGCUGACCUUAAUGGCAGCUUGGAGAACAUAUUAACGAGUCAAUUAUCUAAUCCCACUCUCGUGUAAUUUAUGAAAACAGGCUCGUAUCGAGAAAAUCGACGACGUAUGUUAUGAAGAAAACUCGAUGUGAACACGCGUUAAAAACCUUACAGCCAGGGAUGUUUCGAUAAAGGCUUACAGGGUUCAAUUUUGUUUCUGAGACAAAUGUUACAAAAUGUCCACGUAUAAAUUCCGUUCAGAAUCAAAAUCUUUUGUUUAAUAAGUCGUUUUUACUCAAAACAGGGAGUUUAGAGCGUAGUCGUUUAGGAGAAGCAGUGAGAAGCUCUGCUCUGCUUUGGGGAACGUCGAGAAAAGCCUCCUUGGUGAAGUCGGUCAAGAAGAUGCCGAGAGUGUUCAAAGCUUCAUCAGGAUUACUGUAACGAAUUUGAAUAUAAUUUCGGUUAGAAAGGGUUUGGCAGUUUUUCCGGUCGCUGCGCAAUUCCAUACGUGUUAUUUCAUACUGUUAACGUCUUCAUUGUUAUUCUAAAAUGGGGAAAAUGGAUGAUUUUGUCUCCUUGGAAACAUGUAAGUAUCUUCAUGUAGCUUCUGAAGAGCAGUACUAAAUAGCAAAGAUCUUUAAACAAAAUAAUAACAAUUGACACCGAUCGUCCUGUUAAAAAGUCUGCACAUUUUUGUUGCUUUUAGAUCGCUAAUGAAGGAGUCUGUGAAAUCGAACACACCCAGUGGCCUGUUUAUGUCAAAUAUAUGUCUUCUUUUAGCCUAAGGGUGUAGCAUUUUCAUGUACAGCUGUAUUUCGAUAAAUCAUGAAGUCAUUAAUUUACUGGAGUUGAACACUGGACUAACCCUUGCUUCUCUUUUUGAUAUUUCUCUCAGCCGAAGUACUGUUGACCAUGAGUGGACAAAGCGCGAUUUCCACCAGCAUGGGCCAAGAGCGAGUCUGUGCCCUGCAGAGGGUCCCUACUCAUCCCCAAAACCCUACAACUCUACUUCCCCCUGCUGGAGGGAGAUCACACACACACAUACACACACAUAUACACACACACACACAAAAUUUUAUAUUUUGGACCUUGAGUGUCACCGAUUUAAAUCUAUGGAUCCUACACACACACACACACACAAGGCAAAGUCCAUUUGUUGUAUAUGUAUAAAACCGCAUUCACCGUAGUGUGACUUAGCGUGACUCUCCUAUAAACGGUGGCAUCAGGAUCCUGUGAAUGUAUUCUCUCGCUCUCUCUCUCUCUCUCUCUCUCUCUCUCUCUCUCUCUCUCUCAGUGAAGCAAAUCCACACACACUCUCGUAUUCCCCUACUGUUCCCACAGUCCCCACACAAACACCAUGGCUGCGCUCAACGUUUAGCCAUUUUUGCCUUUUUCAUCUUUUUUUUCUCUCUCUCUCUCUAAAGUGAGAGUAAUGUUAAAGAUUAAAACUCUGCACAGAUCUAAAUGGUUUGCGGGCAGAAUAACGAUUCACGAAAUUUGAUAUUAUUCUGCCCGGUGUGUCAAAGGAACAGUUCAGCCAGGAAUAAAAUGUACACAGUCCCCCCCCCUGCUUAUACUCCCAAAUAUAGUCCCAUCAGCCAAGACAUGUUUUUUUGUUUGUUUACUUGUUUGUUUACUUGUUUAGCUUUGCCCCCGGAGUUACAAGACUAAUGUAGAUAACAAGUAAGGACAGUUUGUCUCGCCGAAAAUAUUUUCCAUAAACACAGAUUAAUAACUCUGUGAAGAUUUUUAACUCGACUAAACGAUUUUGUGUGAAAGUACGUGAUGGUCUGUAUUUAUUUUCAAAAUUUAUAUCCAUAUCAUCUAGCUAACGGAUAAUAUGCCGACAUUAACGGAACAUUCAGUAGGCUAUUCUACAGGUUUUAAGAAUGGUAUGCUGUAGGAUUACAAAAUGAUUGCAUUAUUGCAAUCUUAAAAUCGUUUCUUGUAACGUUAUCGGAACGUUUCACUCUGUUCCCGAAACGCAUUAAGAGUGUUUGGGUUAACAUCCCCUACAACUAAAAAAAGGUUGCAGCAACGUUGUAGGAAUGUUUAUGAAUGUUACAUAUAAGAAAAUUUUUUUAAUGAAAACUCGGUUAUAUUUUGCAUUAAUUAAGAACUGGAUGUAGUUUGACGCACAUGUUUACAGAACAGAUUCUGAAUGAUUUGGACUUUUAUAACUUGAUAGCAUCAUUAACCCCCAGAGGUCCAGUGUGAAACUAAAGAAGUGAAUAUACGAGAUGAAACGUGUCUUGGCUGAUUGAUUGCGUUUGAGGUAGUGAUGACAUUAUGUACAUUUCCUUUUUUUUUGUUUUUUUUUUUGUUUUGUUUUUUGCUAUACAAAUUGCUAUAAAUUUUAUUCUAUUCUCAUGUAUAGAUUUUUUUAAAUGUAGAUAUCUAUAAUGAGCUAGCGAUGAGAAGAAAUCCUGGAGUGAUGCAGUGAACUUCGCAUUUGCUUCUUUAUCUGUAUCACUUAAUAUUUAUAAUUAAGAAAGUUUGGAUUUUGGUCCAGUAGUUUCAGAUUAGAGCAAAUCAUUGAUUUUUUUUUUUGUGUGUGUGUGUGCUUAGCUGAUAGAUUGUACAUACCAAUAAUAAAAAAUAUAUAUAUAAAAAAAUAUAUAUAUUUAUUUUGGAUUUUCAGCUCUUCCGUUUUCCCCUUCAGCCUGGUCUUAACUGCUUCUAGAAUGUUUUCACGUGCGUGUGAUUUUUUUUUUUUUAUUUCUAAUUUUAUUUUUUGUAAAGCUUAGGGCUGGGCGAUAUGGGCAAGACAUCAUAUCAUGAUACUUACACUUUCACAAUAUAUGACAAAUUGUGGUUUGCUAAUAUAAUGUAUGUGAAAAACAGCAAUGCUUUUUAAAGAAAAACAUUUUCUAAAUCUGGCUGAUUUUUUUUUUGACUGCUCAAAACCAGGAUCGAGAGAAAAAAAAGAUAGAUUUUAUAGACAUCCACUGACUGACAUGAGCAACUGUGGAGUCAGUGUCAUGAAAGCAUUACUGCUUAUCACAUUGUUAUAUCGCCUGGCCCUUCCUAUGGUACUGAAGCAGAUGAAGCGGGUUACUUUAGACUGUGUGUGUAUGUGUGAGCUCGCCGUGUGUACGGUGUACAGCUAACUGCUUUGCUUCUCAGCCUUUUAAAAUUAAAAACCCAACACAGCCAUAAACUCGGCACUGACGUGUUGCUUUUGUCUGUCGUGUUCCAAAAAGACGAGCAAUAACUUAGUAAACGUUGCUUUGUUCGUUUUGUAAUUUUGUACAAAUUUUGCGUUCCCAGUUUUUGGACCCAGUAUUACGGAUGGACGUUUUUUAUUGCGGUUUAUAUUUUCGGGGGAGAAAAAAAAAAUACUACUAAUAAUGUUUAAAUCCGUAUGUUCCUCAGUGAUAAGCCGGUGUUGGUGGGACAGCGCUGGACUUCAGGGUGGCUAUAUUCUUACCAACAGGGUCUGCAGAUCAUUAUAUCAGUAUAUGGAAAUAAGAGAGUGGGUGUGUCUUAAAGCCAUGGAUGCAAAUGUGGGUGACUCAGUCCAUAUAUGGAAAUAAGAGCAUCUCUGAGUUGGUGUGUUUAAAGCUAUUAGGAAUAGCUGAUAGGAAUUUCCAUAUAUGGAAGUCAAUCAGAGGAAAAGUGUUAGCUGAGAUAACCUGAUAGGAUUUGAAGUCAUAUUCAUUAUUGUUUAUAAUAAUCACUGUACAUGCUAGCCACACAGUUAAAUGUUUAUAAUAUACUUUGAUAUGCUAGUCAACUAGCUAACAUGCAUUCACCUGACAGGAUUUCUAACAGGAUUUUUUGGUCCAGGUUAUAAAUGUUUGUCAUAUACACUGAUAUGCCAGCCAGCUAGCUAGCAUGGACUAACCCGAAACGCUUUUUGACUACUUUUGAAGAUCUGGUGCUAAUCAGAAAUGUCCUUUCGAUUCGAUAUCUUUCAUAUUAUGGGCUCAAAGACACACCCGCCAGUCUUCAUGUGCCAAUAAUCAGUAAUACAAUAUUUUGUGAUAUUUAUUUAGCACCAUAUUUGUAAAAUAGAGCCUUCAGAGUAUCCCCUGGUACUCUACAUUGCAUUUGGGUGUAAGCAGUGGUUUUGGGGAGAUAAAGCCUGUCCCUUUCAAAUGCACCAUAAAGACAGGUGUCUUACAAGGUCCUUUGAUUUCGACAUGGUUUUAGGCAUCCUUCUCAGGGAAAGGGAGUCCCAUGAAUCUGUUUAACGUGAAAGUUUGAGCAAUAUGUCAGUACCAGUGCGGAUCUCUGGUCGUCGUUAAAGUUGCGCAUAAGUCGUCCAUUUACUAUUUUAUUUUCUCAACAGAGGUCUCUCUUUUCCAUUCCUUUUACACACACUACUCCUUUAUGGUUGACACUUUCGAAUCCCAUUUGGACAUCACUCUGUUUGGAAGUCCAGCGCUGUUGUCCUGGAGGGACACUUGGUUGGGAGUAGCCACUUCUCGAAUCCAAAGAUAGUCGCCAUUUCAAAUGGGUAUAAGCCAUGAGCUGGAGGCGCUGUGGGGUUUUCUAAAGCGUUUUUAUGAGCCACUUUACAUCGAUACCUGUAGUUUCUCUGUUGUGAGUGUCAUUGUGCUCUGUAGUCAGCCAAUAGCAUAGUGCUAACUGCAGGAAGCUAAGAUGCUAAACGCUAUAUGUUGCCUUAGACCUUAAUGUUGCAUAAGAAGAGCUUUGUGUUACAUCUGUACAGUCAGUCACAAUAUGAGCUCACCACCGUUCCCAAUCACUUUACUCACUGUGCCUUUCCUUGUCGCUGGGGUGGUAUCUUUUACCUUGAGAGUGUACCUUUAAGUGUACACUAUAUACCCUUUGAUGGAUAGAUCCAGGUAAAAGAUCCAUAUUAAAGGUACAAAAGAUAAGGGUUCCACCCCAGCAGCACAGAAAGCACUCUAGUGACUAGUCUCUCUCUCUCUCUCUCUCUCUCUCUCUCUCUCUCUCUCUCUCUCUCUCUCAUCCAUUUUUGUUUUUUUGUUUUUUGUGAUCAGCUGUGGGUUUAUUAUUAUUUGUACAGUUCUGAUUUCAUCCAUUCAGUCAUAAUGAUGAUGAUUAUGAUGAUGAUGAUUAUGAUAAUGCAACGGGAAAUCGAAGCAAUAGCCUAUGUAAUUUAUGGACCUUCUGCAGUAAAGCCGACAGUGUUGCGCGUUAUGAAAUGUAUUAUUAUUAUUAUUAUUAUUAUUAUUAUUAUUAUUAUUGUUUUUUUUUUUUUUUUUUUUUUUUUUUGUGUCCGUGCACAUUGAGAGCUCAUCUGUUCACGCGCCUCGGUAUUUCUGAUAUUUAGUGUGUGAGCGUUUUAUGCAAAACUUUAAAGAGGUUAUGCAAGUUGGCAAACUAACGCGGCUUCGCGGAUGCUGUUUGAUGUUUGGAAAUAAUAAUAAAUUACUGUUGUAAAUAAAGAAUUCUGUUUAAAAACCAAAGUGUCUCGUUGAGUGAUUUCCUGAGUGUUCAGUGUGUGGGCGGCGCGUGCGCUUUCUAGCGACACUGGAGGCGCGCGCAUGAGCUGAGGAGUUGUAGAAGCAGUAAUAAUAAUAAUAAUAAUAAUAAUAAUAAUAGGCUUGGUAAUAUCUGCUGUAACUGUUUUUCCG
Molecule: long non-coding RNA, 8186 nt
Organism: Ictalurus punctatus (channel catfish)
Lineage: Eukaryota; Metazoa; Chordata; Actinopteri; Siluriformes; Ictaluridae
Source: Ensembl